AGUAAGGUCAGCUAAACAAGCUUUUGGGCCCAUACCCCAACCACGAAGGUUUAAAUCCUUCCUUUACUA
Molecule: transfer RNA, 69 nt
Filed under: Serrivomer sector (sawtooth eel)
Lineage: Eukaryota; Metazoa; Chordata; Actinopteri; Anguilliformes; Serrivomeridae
Description: tRNA-Met
Rfam family: tRNA
About the family: Transfer RNA (tRNA) molecules are approximately 80 nucleotides in length. Their secondary structure includes four short double-helical elements and three loops (D, anti-codon, and T loops).
Source: RNAcentral